RNAcentral lists this ribosomal RNA (497 nucleotides) under uncultured bacterium. RNAcentral describes it as "partial 16S ribosomal RNA". It matches the Rfam family "Bacterial small subunit ribosomal RNA", at positions 28 to 507 of the family's 1533-position model. The record is from RNAcentral.
GAUGAACGCUGGCGGCGUGCCUAAUACAUGCAAGUCGAGCGAACAGACGAGGAGCUUGCUCCUCUGACGUUAGCGGCGGACGGGUGAGUAACACGUGGAUAACCUACCUAUAAGACUGGGAUAACUUCGGGAAACCGGAGAUAAUACCGGAUAAUAUAUUGAACCGCAUGGUUCAAUAGUGAAAGACGGUUUUGCUGUCACUUAUAGAUGGAUCCGCGCCGCAUUAGCUAGUUGGUAAGGUAACGGCUUACCAAGGCAACGAUGCGUAGCCGACCUGAGAGGGUGAUCAGCCACACUGGAACUGAGACACGGUCCAGACUCCUACGGGAGGCAGCAGUAGGGAAUCUUCCGCAAUGGGCGAAAGCCUGACGGAGCAACGCCGCGUGAGUGAUGAAGGUCUUCGGAUCGUAAAACUCUUUUAUUAGGGAAGAACAAAUGUGUAAGUAACUAUGCACGUCUUGACGGUACCUAAUCAGAAAGCCACGGCUAACUACGUG